RNAcentral lists this ribosomal RNA (420 nucleotides) under uncultured bacterium. RNAcentral's name for it is "bacterial SSU rRNA". It matches the Rfam family "Bacterial small subunit ribosomal RNA", at positions 356 to 774 of the family's 1533-position model. The record is from RNAcentral.
AAGGAAUAUUGGUCAAUGGACGCAAGUCUGAACCAGCCAUGCCGCGUGAAGGAUGAAGGUCCUCUGGAUUGUAAACUUCUUUUAUCUGGGACGAAAACGGGAUUUUUAUCUCAAUUGACGGUACCAGAGGAAUAAGCACCGGCUAACUCCGUGCCAGCAGCCGCGGUAAUACGGAGGGUGCGAGCGUUAUCCGGAUUUACUGGGUUUAAAGGGUGCGUAGGUGGGCUUAUAAGUCAGUGGUGAAAUCUCCGAGCUUAACUUGGAAACUGCCGUUGAUACUAUAGGUCUUGAAUUAUCUGGAGGUAAGCGGAAUAUGUCAUGUAGCGGUGAAAUGCUUAGAUAUGACAUAGAACACCAAUUGCGAAGGCAGCUUACUACACAAUCAUUGACGCUGAGGCACGAAAGCGUGGGGAUCAAACA